Microcebus murinus (gray mouse lemur) is the source of this 712-nucleotide non-coding RNA. NCBI's taxonomy places the organism in Eukaryota, Metazoa, Chordata, Mammalia, Primates, Cheirogaleidae. The record is from RefSeq and is a predicted model, not a curated record.
AGCAGAGCGCGGCGCCGCCGCCGCGGCCCGAGCCGGCGGCCGCUGAGGGGACGGCGGCGGAGCUGGCUUCCCUCCGCUCGGGGGCUUUAUGUCGCCUGUCCCAGCACUAGGUGAUUCUGCUCCUCACUAGAAAAGCGCUUCCAAAUGAAGCCAGCUGCUGCUAGGAAUAGCAGAGUGUCCCUCUGUCACCUGUGUAGACGACCAUGGCGUUAGCCCAGCUCACUGCAACCUCAAACUCCUGGGCUCAAGUGAUCCUCCUGCCUCAGCCUCCUGAGUAGCUGGGACUACAGUAAAAGAAUUCUCAAGAGAAAAGAAAACACAGAAGACACCUAACAAAGAUGAUAUGUAUUAUGGUUCUUAUAUGUUAUAUGUGUUAUUACGUAUUAAUUAAGCUAGGCCAAUGUUAAGUUUAUCAAAGCUGAGAUGGCUUGUUUGUUAAUUUGAUUUCGAGUUGUGUCAGCCAAUGCUUGAAACAGAAAUUGUUAGUUUUAAUUGUAUGCAUUUACUGAUAAAAAUGUUGCAGUUUGGGGGUUGUUCUAGAAUACAGAAGACCAGUUAGCUAAAUAUUAAAAAUAUUCGAUAGCAGUUUCAAAUCUGGAUUCAAUCAGUGUUGGCCUUGGAAUAUGCCGAGCAACGUGGGAGUUUGUAGUAAGGCUCCUCUAUCUAAAUGAUCUUCAUUAAAAUUGACCACAGCGUCACCAUUCAUAAUGAA